Molecule: small nuclear RNA, 117 nt
Filed under: Myotis davidii
Lineage: Eukaryota; Metazoa; Chordata; Mammalia; Chiroptera; Vespertilionidae
Description: U2 spliceosomal RNA
Rfam family: U2 spliceosomal RNA
About the family: U2 is a small nuclear RNA (snRNA) component of the spliceosome (involved in pre-mRNA splicing). Complementary binding between U2 snRNA (in an area lying towards the 5' end but 3' to hairpin I) and the branchpoint sequence (BPS) of the intron results the bulging out of an unpaired adenosine, on the BPS, which initiates a nucleophilic attack at the intronic 5' splice site, thus starting the first of two transesterification reactions that mediate splicing.
Source: Rfam by way of RNAcentral
AUCGCUUCUCGGCCUUUUGGCUAAGAUCAAGUGUAGAAUUUACAUUUCAUCCUACCAUUUACUGUAUGAAAGUGAUACCAUUAGGGUUUCUUUUCACAGAUGAAGAUGCCAACUUAA